RNAcentral lists this ribosomal RNA (253 nucleotides) under uncultured bacterium. RNAcentral describes it as "partial 16S ribosomal RNA". It matches the Rfam family "Bacterial small subunit ribosomal RNA", at positions 524 to 776 of the family's 1533-position model. The record is from RNAcentral.
UACGUAGGGCGCAAGCGUUAUCCGGAAUUAUUGGGCGUAAAGAGCUCGUAGGCGGUUUGUCGCGUCUGCCGUGAAAGUCCGGGGCUCAACCCCGGAUCUGCGGUGGGUACGGGCAGACUAGAGUGAUGUAGGGGAGACUGGAAUUCCUGGUGUAGCGGUGAAAUGCGCAGAUAUCAGGAGGAACACCGGUGGCGAAGGCGGGUCUCUGGGCCGUAACUGACGCUGAGGAGCGAAAGCAUGGGGAGCGAACAGG